This 465-nucleotide ribosomal RNA is filed under the name uncultured Klebsiella sp. RNAcentral describes it as "bacterial SSU rRNA". It matches the Rfam family "Bacterial small subunit ribosomal RNA", at positions 338 to 795 of the family's 1533-position model. The record is from RNAcentral. Lineage: Bacteria; Pseudomonadati; Pseudomonadota; Gammaproteobacteria; Enterobacterales; Enterobacteriaceae.
CCUACGGGGGGCUGCAGUGGGGAAUAUUGCACAAUGGGCGCAAGCCUGAUGCAGCCAUGCCGCGUGUGUGAAGAAGGCCUUCGGGUUGUAAAGCACUUUCAGCGGGGAGGAAGGCGUUAAGGUUAAUAACCUUGGCGAUUGACGUUACCCGCAGAAGAAGCACCGGCUAACUCCGUGCCAGCAGCCGCGGUAAUACGGAGGGUGCAAGCGUUAAUCGGAAUUACUGGGCGUAAAGCGCACGCAGGCGGUCUGUCAAGUCGGGUGUGAAAUCCCCGGGCUCAACCUGGGAACUGCAUUCGAAACUGGCAGGCUAGAGUCUUGUAGAGGGGGGUAGAAUUCCAGGUGUAGCGGUGAAAUGCGUAGAGAUCUGGAGGAAUACCGGUGGCGAAGGCGGCCCCCUGGACAAAGACUGACGCUCAGGUGCGAAAGCGUGGGGAGCGAACAGGAUUAGAUACCCCGGUAGUC